GGUGUCCCAAUAGGUGGUCAAUCUGGUGGUUCUAAUCAUCAUGGCUAUUAUGGGAAUCCCGCCUUUGGUGUUGGCAUGUCAUAUCCUGGAAGUCCCCUUGCAAGUCCUGUUAUUCCAAACUCUCCCAUUGGACCUGGCAGUCCAAUAAGACACAAUGAGCUGAAUAUGCGUUUUCCUUCUGGGAUGAGGAACUUAGCUGGGGGCAUCAUGGGACCGUGGCACUUGGAUGGAGGAGUUAAUGUGGAUGAAAGCUUUGCAUCAUCUCUUCUGGAGGAGUUUAAGAGUAAUAAAACUAAGUGUCUUGAACUUUCAGAAAUUGCCGGACAUGUUGUUGAGUUCAGUGCGGACCAGUACGGGAGUCGGUUCAUUCAACAAAAACUUGAGACAGCCACAAUUGAUGAGAAAAACAUGGUUUAUCAGGAAAUCAU
Molecule: unclassified non-coding RNA, 428 nt
Filed under: Hevea brasiliensis (rubber tree)
Lineage: Eukaryota; Viridiplantae; Streptophyta; Magnoliopsida; Malpighiales; Euphorbiaceae
Source: RNAcentral